Molecule: unclassified non-coding RNA, 354 nt
Filed under: soil metagenome
Description: partial contains 5.8S ribosomal RNA, internal transcribed spacer 2, and large subunit ribosomal RNA
Rfam family: 5.8S ribosomal RNA (bases 1-120)
Source: RNAcentral
GAUGAAGAACGUAGCGAAAUGCGAUAAGUAGUGUGAAUUGCAGAAUUCAGUGAAUCAUCGAAUCUUUGAACGCACAUUGCGCCUCCUGGUAUUCCGGGAGGCAUGCCUGUUCGAGCGUGAUUAAAAUCACUCAAGCUUAGGUUUACCUAUUGCUUGGUCUUGGAGAUGGAAGCCAAUUCAUUGGAAUCCUCUUCGAAAUCCAAUGGCGAAGACCCUUGCUCUCCCAAGUGUAGUAAUAACUUAUGUCACUGAAGGAAGCGAGAAAUCUUCCGCCGUAACCCCCAUAUUUUCUAUGAUUGACCUCGGAUCAGGUAGGGAUACCCGCUGAACUUAAGCAUAUCAAUAAGCGGAGGA